GAACGCUGGCGGCGUGCUUAACACAUGCAAGUCGAACGGUGAAGCCAAGCUUGCUUGGUGGAUCAGUGGCGAACGGGUGAGUAACACGUGAGCAACCUGCCCUGGACUCUGGGAUAAGCGCUGGAAACGGCGUCUAAUACUGGAUAUGAGCUCUCAUCGCAUGGUGGGGGUUGGAAAGAUUUUUCGGUCUGGGAUGGGCUCGCGGCCUAUCAGCUUGUUGGUGAGGUAAUGGCUCACCAAGGCGUCGACGGGUAGCCGGCCUGAGAGGGUGACCGGCCACACUGGGACUGAGACACGGCCCAGACUCCUACGGGAGGCAGCAGUGGGGAAUAUUGCACAAUGGGCGGAAGCCUGAUGCAGCAACGCCGCGUGAGGGAUGACGGCCUUCGGGUUGUAAACCUCUUUUAGCAGGGAAGAAGCGAGAGUGACGGUACCUGCAGAAAAAGCGCCGGCUAACUACGUGCCAGCAGCCGCGGUAAUACGUAGGGCGCAAGCGUUAUCCGGAAUUAUUGGGCGUAAAGAGCUCGUAGGCGGUUUGUCGCGUCUGCUGUGAAAUCCCGAGGCUCAACCUCGGGCCUGCAGUGGGUACGGGCAGACUAGAGUGCGGUAGGGGAGAUUGGAAUUCCUGGUGUAGCGGUGGAAUGCGCAGAUAUCAGGAGGAACACCGAUGGCGAAGGCAGAUCUCUGGGCCGUAACUGACGCUGAGGAGCGAAAGGGUGGGGAGCAAACAGGCUUAGAUACCCUGGUAGUCCACCCCGUAAACGUUGGGAACUAGUUGUGGGGACCAUUCCACGGUUUCCGUGACGCAGCUAACGCAUUAAGUUCCCCGCCUGGGGAGUACGGCCGCAAGGCUAAAACUCAAAGGAAUUGACGGGGACCCGCACAAGCGGCGGAGCAUGCGGAUUAAUUCGAUGCAACGCGAAGAACCUUACCAAGGCUUGACAUAUACGAGAACGGGCCAGAAAUGGUCAACUCUUUGGACACUCGUAAACAGGUGGUGCAUGGUUGUCGUCAGCUCGUGUCGUGAGAUGUUGGGUUAAGUCCCGCAACGAGCGCAACCCUCGUUCUAUGUUGCCAGCACGUAAUGGUGGGAACUCAUGGGAUACUGCCGGGGUCAACUCGGAGGAAGGUGGGGAUGACGUCAAAUCAUCAUGCCCCUUAUGUCUUGGGCUUCACGCAUGCUACAAUGGCCGGUACAAAGGGCUGCAAUACCGUGAGGUGGAGCGAAUCCCAAAAAGCCGGUCCCAGUUCGGAUUGAGGUCUGCAACUCGACCUCAUGAAGUCGGAGUCGCUAGUAAUCGCAGAUCAGCAACGCUGCGGUGAAUACGUUCCCGGG
RNAcentral lists this ribosomal RNA (1336 nucleotides) under Microbacterium hydrothermale. RNAcentral's name for it is "bacterial SSU rRNA". It matches the Rfam family "Bacterial small subunit ribosomal RNA", at positions 31 to 1378 of the family's 1533-position model. The record is from RNAcentral. Lineage: Bacteria; Bacillati; Actinomycetota; Actinomycetes; Micrococcales; Microbacteriaceae.